CCUCCUUUUCUUGACCAGGGCCUGGCGUCUGGUCAUGCUUCCCAUUAUGUACGGAGGCAGAAGAAAGGGCUCCAGCCCCCUGGGUAUCAUGUCUUCCAUGCCGCGGCCCAUUCGCCAGUUCUACCCUCAAACACCAGCUCACAG
This 144-nucleotide small nucleolar RNA is filed under the name Castor canadensis (American beaver). RNAcentral's name for it is "Small nucleolar RNA SNORA57 (ENSCCNG00000019974.1)". It matches the Rfam family "Small nucleolar RNA SNORA57". Rfam says of the family: U99 belongs to the H/ACA class of snoRNAs which are thought to guide the sites of modification of uridines to pseudouridines, the target for this family is unknown. The record is from Rfam by way of RNAcentral. Lineage: Eukaryota; Metazoa; Chordata; Mammalia; Rodentia; Castoridae.